GCAUGCUUAACACAUGCAAGUCGAACGCGAAAGUCGCCUUCGGGUGGCGAGUAGAGUGGCGGACGGGUGAGUAACGCGUAGGAAUCUGCCCAGUGGUGGGGGACAACUCGGGGAAACUCGAGCUAAUACCGCAUACGCCCUACGGGGGAAAGCGGGGGAUCUUUUCGGAGACCUCGUGCCAUUGGACGAGCCUGCGUCGGAUUAGCUAGUUGGUAGGGUAAAGGCCUACCAAGGCGACGAUCCGUAGCUGGUCUGAGAGGACGACCAGCCACACUGGGACUGAGACACGGCCCAGACUCCUACGGGAGGCAGCAGUGGGGAAUAUUGGACAAUGGGCGCAAGCCUGAUCCAGCAAUGCCGCGUGUGUGAAGAAGGCCUGCGGGUUGUAAAGCACUUUCAAUUGGGAAGAAAAGUGGGGUGGUUAAUACCCACUCUUCUUGACGUUACCUUUAGAAGAAGCACCGG
This 465-nucleotide ribosomal RNA is filed under the name uncultured bacterium. RNAcentral describes it as "bacterial SSU rRNA". It matches the Rfam family "Bacterial small subunit ribosomal RNA", at positions 42 to 496 of the family's 1533-position model. The record is from RNAcentral.